UGGGGGAUAUUGCACAAUGGGCGAAAGCCUGAUGCAGCGACGCCGCGUGGGGGAUGAAGGCCUUCGGGUUGUAAACUUCUUUUGCUCUGAACAAGGCAUGCUAAUGGGUGUGUUGAGUGUAGGGGUUGAUUAGCGCCGGCUAACUACGUGCCAGCAGCCGCGGUAAUACGUAGGGCGCGAGCGUUGUCCGGAAUUAUUGGGCGUAAAGGGCUUGUAGGUGGCUGGUUGCGUCUGUCGUGAAAGCUCAUGGCUUAACUGUGGGUUUGCGGUGGGUACGGGCUGGCUUGAGUGCAGUAGGGGAGGCUGGAAUUCCUGGUGUAGCGGAGGAAUGCGCAGAUAUCAGGAGGAAUACCGGUGGCGAAGGCGGGUCUCUGGGCUGUUACUGACACUGAGGAGCGAAAGCAUGGGGAGCGAACAGG
Molecule: ribosomal RNA, 419 nt
Filed under: bacterium
Lineage: Bacteria
Description: partial 16S ribosomal RNA
Rfam family: Bacterial small subunit ribosomal RNA
Source: RNAcentral